RNAcentral lists this ribosomal RNA (432 nucleotides) under uncultured bacterium. RNAcentral's name for it is "partial 16S ribosomal RNA". It matches the Rfam family "Bacterial small subunit ribosomal RNA", at positions 29 to 507 of the family's 1533-position model. The record is from RNAcentral.
ACGCACGCUGGCGGCAUGCCUAACACAUGCAAGUCGAACGAGACCUUCGGGUCUAGUGGCGCACGGGUGCGUAACGCGUGGGAACCUGCCCUUAGGUUCGGAAUAACUCCCCGAAAGGGGUGCUAAUACCGGAUAAUGUCUUCGGACCAAAGAUUUAUCGCCUUUGGAUGGGCCCGCGUUGGAUUAGCUAGUUGGUAGGGUAAAAGCCUACCAAGGCGACGAUCCAUAGCUGGUCUGAGAGGAUGAUCAGCCACACUGGGACUGAGACACGGCCCAGACUCCUACGGGAGGCAGCAGUGGGGAAUAUUGGACAAUGGGCGAAGGCCUGAUCCAGCAAUGCCGCGUGAGUGAUGAAGGCCUUAGGGUUGUAAAGCUCUUUUACCCGGGAUGAUAAUGACAGUACCGGGAGAAUAAGCUCCGGCUAACUCCGUG